Long non-coding RNA from Cyprinus carpio carpio, 1239 nucleotides. Lineage: Eukaryota; Metazoa; Chordata; Actinopteri; Cypriniformes; Cyprinidae. The record is from Ensembl.
CGGCACCGCGGGAAGUUUGAAUUCGCAGAAGGAGGAGAAGAAGAAAACAGCAGCGAUGGCCUCCGUUGUUAAAUUUAACGCAUUCUCAAGCGUCUAUCAAAGAGAGCACUGUUUCUUCACUGCCUGUGCCCUUGCUGUCAUCAUUUCCUGGUACCCGAACAGAUCCUCAGUCAGAUACAGGAACUACGUGUAUGUCACCUCUGCCUAUGCUGGCCUCGCCUGCGACCCGUACCCGACCUGUGAAGACUGCUGGCAGGGUGUUUGUACUGGACCACAAAUGCCGAGCCCAUUGACAACUUGCUUAAUAAACACCAUAGGAAGAAAAAUUCCUCUACUGAUCCAAACAGCACGCUCCAUCCGACCACAAAACUACAGGUCACAGUAUGUCAAGCACCGGGCCAAACAGCUGAUCACCAGUUCAUCAUUAAACAACUCCAGAGAAGCAUCUUUAAAGCAUGUAGUAAAACACCCAGAGCGCCUGUGGUUACAGUGAAGCCUGUGGAUGUAAACCCCGCAGCACCUGCUCUGACCACACUCCUAACUCACGAGACCAUUGAGAGAAUUGUAUUAUGGAAAGGCAGCCGAGAAAGAAACAAACAAAGACUUGUCUUGCUCGUGGACAGCCAAAGAUGUUUCCUCUAUCCACUUUUUUGUAAUCAGCAAGGCCCUGUCAGGUUCUUCUACUGUUACACAAAGGUUUUUAAUGCUUACAGUGAUUAAGGACUAGCAAACCCCAGAAUGCCAUUCCAAGACUUUAUGGAAAUGGAGCUCUGUAAGAGUGAAUUCGAGGAUACAAAGAAACGGGUGGAAGAGAGAGGACAGCAAAAACUUAAAAAAAAGGCCUGAAGCUGAACAUGUCGGUCACUUGUGCAGAUUUUGUGAAAUGGAACUGAAGCAGGGCCCAAACAGUCCUCACGUACACACAGGCUUUCCUGUGAAAUAUGUUCAGUGCCCUGCUAAAGUCUUUUCCAUUUACCAACAUCAGGGCACUGAGAAAGAGAUGACCUGGAAAGAGUCUAAAGAGUCUGCAUUUUACAAGAAAAAAAGGGCAGAAAAAAAAGAAAUAAAUGAUUAUUUUACCCCUUAGUAAUAUUUAACUGUAUAUACUGUACAUUUUUAUUUUUCAGUGUGAGAUUGUAAUAUCUAUAUAUAUUUUCAGAAUUCUAUUUUUCUUUCUAUUUUAUUACUUUGGAUUGAUCUUAAAAAGUGCUUAAAGCAUUUAAUAAAAAUACAACUGAU